GCCAUGCGAGUCUUUGUAGUAAUACAAGGCAGACGGCUCAGUAACACGUAGUCAACCUACCCUAUGGACAAGAAUAAUCUCGGGAAACUGGGCAUAAUUCUUGAUAGAUCAUAAUGCCUGGAAUGGUUUAUGGUUAAAAUGAUUCGUCGCCAUAGGAUGGGACUGCGGCCUAUCAGCUUGUUGGUGAGGUAAUGGCCCACCAAGGCGAUUACAGGUACGGGCUCUGAGAGGAGAAGCCCGGAGAUGGGUACUGAGACACGGACCCAGGCCCUAUGGGGCGCAGCAGGCGAGAAAACUUUGCAAUGUGCGAAAGCACGACAAGGUUAAUCCGAGUGAUUUCUGCUAAAGAAAUCUUUUGCCAGUCAUAAAACCACUGGUGAAUAAGGGGUGGGCAAGUUCUGGUGUCAGCCGCCGCGGUAAAACCAGCACCUCAAGUGGUCAGGAUGAUUAUUGGGCCUAAAGCAUCCGUAGCCGGCUUUGUAAGUUUUCGGUUAAAUCCAUGUGCUCAACGCAUGGGCUGCCGAAAAUACUGCAUGGCUAGGGAGUGGGAGAGGUAGACGGUACUCAGUAGGAAGGGGUAAAAUCCUUUGAUCUAUUGAUGACCACCUGUGGCGAAGGCGGUCUACCAGAACACGUUCGACGGUGAGGGAUGAAAGCUGGGGGAGCAAACCGGAUUAGAUACCCGGGUAGUCCCAGCUGUAAACGAUGCAGACUCGAUGAUGCAUUGGCAUAAUAGCCAGUGCAGUGUCGCAGGGAAGCCGUUAAGUCUGCCGCCUGGGAAGUACGUACGCAAGUAUGAAACUUAAAGGAAUUGGCGGGGGAGCACCA
RNAcentral lists this ribosomal RNA (828 nucleotides) under uncultured marine group I thaumarchaeote. RNAcentral describes it as "SSU rRNA". It matches the Rfam family "Archaeal small subunit ribosomal RNA", at positions 48 to 881 of the family's 1478-position model. The record is from RNAcentral. Lineage: Archaea; Thermoproteati; Nitrososphaerota.